Molecule: long non-coding RNA, 375 nt
Filed under: Mytilus galloprovincialis (Mediterranean mussel)
Lineage: Eukaryota; Metazoa; Mollusca; Bivalvia; Mytilida; Mytilidae
Source: RNAcentral
UACAGUACAGCCUGUGACAUCCUCUUAGUUAUGUCCACCCUCUUGCAUGGUCAACAUCCAAUGGUGAACAUUUAUUGGGGUAUUCAAUCUUGAGAUGUUGGCCAUUUAUUAGGGUCAUAAAACAUAGGUAGAUGUGUUAUCUAAUUAUGUUACCUGUUAAAAUCAAUCAGGGUUGAAGUUUUCAGCUGGUAUGUUUCAUUAAAAUUUACCUGUACAGGUAACUAAGGUUUCUUUUAAAAUUGACAUUUCACCUUUUAUUGAAAUUGUAGAAUAAAAUAUAGUUUUAGUCUGUUUAAUUUAUUAUUUGUUUUUUUGUUUUAAUGUUAUCUAAAUUUUUUUCUUUUUGUGUUUUUUUCAUUUUUGUAUGUUUUUUUC